Portunus trituberculatus (swimming crab) is the source of this 288-nucleotide long non-coding RNA. RefSeq lists it as uncharacterized. The record is from RefSeq and is a predicted model, not a curated record. NCBI's taxonomy places the organism in Eukaryota, Metazoa, Arthropoda, Malacostraca, Decapoda, Portunidae. The transcript has 2 exons.
GAACUGCUAAGGGUCAAGGGUCACAAAGGGAGAGGUGAGAGGUCCUGAGAAGGCUGGGUCAUGCUUCAACUUGACUCCGCUAUCCUCUGUGAGCAACUCCUGAACCCAGCGACGGAGGCAGUGUGUGUGUGUGUGUGUGUGUGUGUGUGUGUGUGUGUGUGUGUGUGUGUGUGUGUGUGUGUGUGUGUGUGUGAUAGUCGUUGUUCUAGUUGUACAAACGAUGAUUGGUUGUGUGUGUGUGUGUGUGUGUGUGUGUGUGUGUGUGUGUGUGUGUGUGUGUGUGUGUGU